This 529-nucleotide long non-coding RNA is filed under the name Homo sapiens (human). RNAcentral's name for it is "non-protein coding lnc-FTCDNL1-4:22". Lineage: Eukaryota; Metazoa; Chordata; Mammalia; Primates; Hominidae. The record is from RNAcentral.
CAGCAGGGGCGGCCGCAGGUCGCCGUUCAAUAAUACUCAAGGGAUUUGUACAGCCCUGUAGGAGACACCUCCAGAGAAAGUAACAGCUCUCAAUUGAUUAGCUGAGAAGCCUCAGGGGCUGGAUCCUGACAUGAACCAGACACCUCCAGAAUUCUAUCCCAAGCAAAAGAUUAUUUCAAGGCCAGAACUCACUCCCUGCUGGAGACUGACUACAAGAUCCACUGAGAUUGAUGUGUAACCUGAUUGGGCCCACAGUGAUGCUAGCCCCUUCACCAGAUGGAACAAUAAUUCCAGACAAGCCAUCAGAGCAGGUCACACCACUUGACACCUUCUCGCCCCCUUGCCUCUCCUGCAUUCCAAACCCCUCUCUUUAAAAUCCCCAUGUUCCCUCCGUAAACUGGGCAGUGCCAAUUGUUGGAAAGAAUUCUGGCACUCUUUUCCUUCUUAGCAUGGAUAAAAAGAUUCACCCUCUUUUUAUCACACCUCACUCUUGUUAUUUUGGCUUCUUUCUACAAGUGGUGAGCAACCG